This 460-nucleotide ribosomal RNA is filed under the name uncultured bacterium. RNAcentral's name for it is "SSU rRNA". It matches the Rfam family "Bacterial small subunit ribosomal RNA", at positions 26 to 518 of the family's 1533-position model. The record is from RNAcentral.
AGAAUCAACGCUGGCGGCGUGCCUAACACAUGCAAGUCGCACGAGAAAGGGUAGCAAUACCUGAGUACAGUGGCGCACGGGUGAGUAACACGUGAAUAAUCUACCUCCGAGUGGGGAAUAACUGAGAGAAAUCUUAGCUAAUACCGCAUAAUACCCACGGGUCAAAGCAGUAAUGCGCUUGGAGAGGAGUUCGCGGCAGAUUAGUUAGUUGGCGGGGUAAUGGCCCACCAAGACGAUGAUCUGUAUCCGGCCUGAGAGGGCGCACGGACACACUGGAACUGAAACACGGUCCAGACUCCUACGGGAGGCAGCAGUGGGGAAUUUUUGCGCAAUGGGGGAAACCCUGACGCAGCAACGCCGCGUGGAGGAUGAAGCCCCUUGGGGUGUAAACUCCUUUCGAUCGGGAAGAUAAUGACGGUACCGAUAUAAGAAGCCCGGCUAACUUCGUGCCAGCAGCCGC